GACGAACGCUGGCGGCGUGCCUAACACAUGCAAGUCGAGCGGGGUUGAAGCGAGAGGUAACUCGAACUUCUACCUAGCGGCGGACGGGUGAGUAACGCGUGGGCAACCUGCCUCAAGGUCUGGGAUAACAGCCCCGAAAGGGCUGCUAAUACUGGGUAUGCUUGUGGCCUCGCAUGGGGCUAUGAGCAAAGGGGAAACCCGCCUUGAGAUGGGCCCGCGUCCCAUCAGCUAGUUGGUGAGGUAACAGCUCACCAAGGCGACGACGGGUAGCCGGCCUGAGAGGGUGACCGGCCACACUGGGACUGAGACACGGCCCAGACUCCUACGGGGGGCAGCAGUGGGGAUCUUGCACAAUGGGCGAAAGCCUGAUGCAGCGACGCCGCGUGAGCGAAGAAGGCCUUCGGGUUGUAAAGCUCUGUCUGGAGGGACGAAGGAAGUGACGGUACCUCCGGAGGAAGCCACGGCUAACUACGUGCCAGCAGCCGCGGUAAUCACGAGACGUACUA
RNAcentral lists this ribosomal RNA (506 nucleotides) under uncultured bacterium. Its description in RNAcentral is "bacterial SSU rRNA". It matches the Rfam family "Bacterial small subunit ribosomal RNA", at positions 28 to 537 of the family's 1533-position model. The record is from RNAcentral.